Molecule: long non-coding RNA, 415 nt
Organism: Nycticebus coucang (slow loris)
Lineage: Eukaryota; Metazoa; Chordata; Mammalia; Primates; Lorisidae
Exons: 3
Source: RefSeq, a predicted model, not a curated record
UCUGCUUUUAGUUCUAAUCAGUGUUCUGCCAGUGACGUGAACUCUGCAUUGGAGUUAAGGGCUGUGAGCAGCAGCCCCAUCACCAGCAGCAUCUGGGAAAUGCAAACACUUGGGCCUCACCCAGAUCUACUGUAUCAGAAACUGUGGGGGUGGGGCCCAGCAACCUGUGGUUUACCAGGUUCACCGGGAGAGUGUUUGGGGGAAGAAUAUUAAUAUACUUCAAAAGUGAGUUUCAGCAAUCAAAACACGAGCCGGCUGGACGGCUGAGUAGCUGACUGGAUAGACAGGCCCCAGCCACUGAACCUAAGAGUGUGGAAGAGAUCAUCUCCUCCCCCAAAGUUCAAACCAUAUCUAUUUUGCACACUGUAAUAUCCCCAGCACCAAGCGCAACCUAUACAACAGGUGCUUAAUAAAU